Schistosoma mansoni is the source of this 45-nucleotide non-coding RNA. NCBI's taxonomy places the organism in Eukaryota, Metazoa, Platyhelminthes, Trematoda, Strigeidida, Schistosomatidae. The record is from Rfam.
AUCCAGCUUCGGAGUCCCAAAUAGGACGAAACGCGCGUCCUAGAU